RNAcentral lists this unclassified non-coding RNA (287 nucleotides) under Hevea brasiliensis (rubber tree). Lineage: Eukaryota; Viridiplantae; Streptophyta; Magnoliopsida; Malpighiales; Euphorbiaceae. The record is from RNAcentral.
UCUUGAAGUAUCGGACAUUGUUGAUCUCCGGGAGUGGGCGGCUGAGGAACUGAACAAGAAGAAGCUUCUUAAUUCGGGGCUCAAACAUUUGGGGAGGAAAAUUGCGGGAAUAGAGAUUGAGAAGCCCAAGAGUGUGACAACCAGUGAUUGGGAUGAGCGCUGGCUUAGCCGUGAACAGAUAUGUUAUGCUUGCCUUGAUGCAUAUAUUUCUUUUGAAGUUGGGAGGGUCUUAAGUGCUUGGUACUAGAAGAGUGGACACAAGUAAAUAUGUAAGUAAAAUAUACCAG